This 478-nucleotide ribosomal RNA is filed under the name uncultured bacterium. RNAcentral's name for it is "partial 16S ribosomal RNA". It matches the Rfam family "Bacterial small subunit ribosomal RNA", at positions 28 to 523 of the family's 1533-position model. The record is from RNAcentral.
GACGAACGCUGGCGGCGUGCUUAACACAUGCAAGUCGAACGGUAAGGCCUUUCGGGGUACACGAGUGGCGAACGGGUGAGUAACACGCGGGUGAUCUGCCCUGCACUUCGGGAUAAGCCUGGGAAACUGGGUCUAAUACCGGAUAGGACCACUGCCUGCAUGGGGGGUGGUGGAAAGCUUUUGCGGUGUGGGAUGGGCCCGCGGCCUAUCAGCUUGUUGGUGGGGUGAUGGCCUACCAAGGCGACGACGGGUAGCCGGCCUGAGAGGGUGACCGGCCACACUGGGACUGAGAUACGGCCCAGACUCCUACGGGAGGCAGCAGUGGGGAAUAUUGCACAAUGGGCGCAAGCCUGAUGCAGCGACGCCGCGUGAGGGAUGACGGCCUUCGGGUUGUAAACCUCUUUCAGCACCGACGAAGCGCAAGUGACGGUAGGUGCAGAAGAAGGACCGGCCAACUACGUGCCAGCAGCCGCGGUAA